GAGCACCUGACUUUGCCUAUUCACAAAAACUUGAUUCUAUGUCCAAAAUCACAUGCUAGGUCACCAUUAUAGGUACUUAAGGUACUGUGUCUGGAAAGAUUGAUAGAUAGAACUACUAGUUGCUUGAUUAGGAUGUCAUGGUUGGACCUAUUAAUUCAAAUACUAGUAAACCAAUAAUUAGUUAAGAAGCGGACAAAAGCAAUGAUUGAGAUUAGAAGUGGUUAAAUAAUAAGUGAUGAUAGGAACUGCACUAUGCCAGCACUAUCCAUAUCAACUCAAUUCAUGUUUUAAAGAAACUACCAAGAGAGAGAAUGGAUUAUAGAUCAAAUUGGUUGGGGCUCCAUCCAUGGCUAUUCACAAUUUCAAUUUAUUUUUUCUUUCAUUACCGAUCCGAGUAUUAGUUGUUGUCGUUGACGUUGUGAUCAUGCUGACUUGAGUUUGGGUAUAAGAUGAGCUCUCGGAGUUAGAGUUGCCCUUUUCUCCUUCUUCUAUUUAUGUUUAAUCUUUCCUAUUUGAAAACUGAUGUAUAUUUGACUUGAUUGUACUUGUAUUCUUUUGGAUUUGAGGCUUUGUACCUAUAUUACUAGGUCAUGAGAUUGUUAUUUCUCUAAUUUUAUCUUCCGCUUUUCUAUUAUUAUUAUUGGUUUAUUA
Capsicum annuum is the source of this 651-nucleotide long non-coding RNA. RefSeq lists it as uncharacterized. The record is from RefSeq and is a predicted model, not a curated record. NCBI's taxonomy places the organism in Eukaryota, Viridiplantae, Streptophyta, Magnoliopsida, Solanales, Solanaceae. The transcript has 3 exons.